UACGUAGGAGGCGAGCGUUGUCCGGAUUUACUGGGCGUAAAGGGCGCGCAGGCGGCACGCUAAGUCCCUCGUGAAAUCUCCCUGCUCAACGGGGAGGGAGCGAAGUAGACUGGCGAGCUAGAGGACGGUAGAGGGGGGUAGAAUUGCUGGUGUAGCGGUGAAAUGCGUAGAGAUCAGCAGGAAUACCCGUGGCGAAGGCGGCCCCCUGGGCCGAACCUGACGCUGAGGCGCGAAGGCUAGGGGAGCGAACGGG
Molecule: ribosomal RNA, 253 nt
Filed under: uncultured bacterium
Lineage: Bacteria
Description: partial 16S ribosomal RNA
Rfam family: Bacterial small subunit ribosomal RNA
Source: RNAcentral